UCAAAACUACGUAGUUUUGAUUAAAAUCUAUUAAAUUAAUUUUAUUUUCCAUUAUCUCCUCUUCUCCCUCUACAUCGUACCUGUAGAUCAAGAUCAAUCGAUCACUACAUCAUAUCAUCGCUCCCUAGUUCCAUUGAUUCUAUAUAACCAUCAAUCUCGAAGCUUGUUGUUGGCUUGUUGUGAUGGCAGUUUUAAAGAAUCGCUCGUGGCCCUUUCAACUUUCAAUGUCGGCUAUGGCGGGCACUCGACUUUUGCAAGGAUCAGUGAUGUCAACAGGCAAACGAGAUCUAGAGACAAGUGUUUUGGUGGAUGAAGUUACCAACGGAUCAGCAGUGGGAAUCUGUAAAAGAAUUGGUGCAGAGCGUAAACGGGAUGGAUAUGUUGACAAGUCGCAAGAAGAUAGUUCACGCAAUAGUCUCACUAACACUAUGGACAAUAUGGAGUGCGAGAAAUAGGAAACGGUUUGAAGGAAAAGAAGUUAGGUCAUACAAACUGGUAGUGGACAUAAAAGAAAUUUUUUUCCAAUGGAUGGCGAACAGAAAAAGAGCUCUCGAUAUUGACUAGGGCAAAUGGAGAAGUUUCGUAGAAAUUGAUUAAGAAAGAAGCAAUGUGUUAGUCUGAUUAUGUAUGUUUUUUACGUACUGUUUCUUUCUUUUUUGUACAAUGUACCAGCAACAACAGCAGCUGGUUGUUGAUUGAAUAAAAGUACCAGCAACAA
Long non-coding RNA from Helianthus annuus (common sunflower), 718 nucleotides. RefSeq lists it as uncharacterized. The transcript is spliced from 2 exons. NCBI's taxonomy places the organism in Eukaryota, Viridiplantae, Streptophyta, Magnoliopsida, Asterales, Asteraceae. The record is from RefSeq and is a predicted model, not a curated record.